RNAcentral lists this ribosomal RNA (600 nucleotides) under uncultured bacterium. RNAcentral describes it as "bacterial SSU rRNA". The stretch from base 1 to 520 matches the Rfam family "Bacterial small subunit ribosomal RNA", at positions 338 to 873 of the family's 1533-position model. The record is from RNAcentral.
CCUACGGGAGGCAGCAGUGGGGAAUCUUGCGCAAUGGGCGAAAGCCUGACGCAGCAACGCCGCGUGGGGGAUGAAGGCUCUCGGGUUGUAAACCCCUUUCAGCAGGGACGAAUCAAGACGGUACCUGCAGAAGAAGCCCCGGCUAACUACGUGCCAGCAGCCGCGGUAACACGUAGGGGGCGAAGCGUUGUCCGGAUUUAUUGGGCGUAAAGAGCUCGUAGGUGGCUGAGUAAGUCGGAUGUUAAAUCCCCAGGCUCAACCUGGGACACCACCCGAUACUGCUCUGGCUAGAGUCCGGUAGGGGAGCGUGGAAUUCCUGGUGUAGCGGUGAAAUGCGCAGAUAUCAGGAGGAACACCAGCGGCGAAGGCGGCGCUCUGGGCCGGUACUGACACUGAGGAGCGAAAGCGUGGGUAGCAAACAGGAUUAGAUACCCUGGUAGUCCACGCCGUAAACGUUGGGCACUAGGUGUGGGGUCUAUACUACGACGUCGUCGCGUACGCUACGACAUAGUAGUCCGCCGUCGGUAGGUACGGCCGCGACGACGAACUACAACGAAGUAGACGCGNGNGACGNGCGACGACGACGACGACGGAGGUAGG